Molecule: ribosomal RNA, 301 nt
Filed under: uncultured bacterium
Lineage: Bacteria
Description: partial 16S ribosomal RNA
Rfam family: Bacterial small subunit ribosomal RNA
Source: RNAcentral
CAGUCGCCGCGGGAAUACAGAGGGUGCGAGCGUUAAUCGGAUUUACUGGGCGUAAAGCGUGCGUAGGCGGCUUUUUAAGUCGGAUGUGAAAUCCCUGAGCUUAACUUAGGAAUUGCAUUCGAUACUGGGAAGCUAGAGUAUGGGAGAGGAUGGUAGAAUUCCAGGUGUAGCGGUGAAAUGCGUAGAGAUCUGGAGGAAUACCGAUGGCGAAGGCAGCCAUCUGGCCUAACACUGACGCUGAGGUACGAAAGCAUGGGGAGCAAACAGGAUUAGAUACCCGCGUAGUCCCUGUCUCUUAUAC